Transfer RNA from Coprinopsis cinerea okayama7#130, 105 nucleotides. It matches the Rfam family "tRNA". Rfam says of the family: Transfer RNA (tRNA) molecules are approximately 80 nucleotides in length. Their secondary structure includes four short double-helical elements and three loops (D, anti-codon, and T loops). The record is from Rfam. NCBI's taxonomy places the organism in Eukaryota, Fungi, Basidiomycota, Agaricomycetes, Agaricales, Psathyrellaceae.
GGCGAGAUGGCCGAGCGGUCUAAGGCGCCAGACUAAGGACCAGCCUGCAUUGGCAGGCAAGGUAUCUGGUCCGAAAGGGCGUGGGUUCGAAUCCCACUCUCGUCA